This 220-nucleotide long non-coding RNA is filed under the name Elaeis guineensis (African oil palm). RNAcentral describes it as "long non-coding RNA (EGUI_LNC032248)". Lineage: Eukaryota; Viridiplantae; Streptophyta; Magnoliopsida; Arecales; Arecaceae. The record is from RNAcentral.
GUAGUGAGAUAUAUUAUGAUAUCCAUCACAGUAUCAUCAAAACUUCUUUUGAUGGAUUACAAUAAUUCUAACUCUAUCCUCUGAAGAUUAUCAAUCAUCAAGAUGAUGCCCAAUGAGUCCCAAAUCCACUAGUGAUACAUAGCAGUAUGCAGUGACAAUCUAGUAAAAUAAAAGAAUGAACUCUUAGAUAUAGUUAUCGUAUGAUUAAGUCCUUCUAUUA